RNAcentral lists this ribosomal RNA (772 nucleotides) under uncultured Neocallimastigales. Its description in RNAcentral is "partial large subunit ribosomal RNA". It matches the Rfam family "Eukaryotic large subunit ribosomal RNA", at positions 24 to 643 of the family's 3401-position model. The record is from RNAcentral. Lineage: Eukaryota; Fungi; Neocallimastigomycota; Neocallimastigomycetes; Neocallimastigales.
UACGACUACAUAUCAGGCAUAUCAAUAAGCGGAGGAAAAGAAACUAACUAGGAUUCCCUCAGUAACGGCGAGUGAAGCGGGAAGAGCUCAAAUUUGAAAUCUUCAAGGUUUUACCUUGACGAAUUGUAGUUUAAAGAAGUGUUUUCUGUUGGAGUUUUGGUAAAAGUUCUUUGGAAUAGGACAUCAUAGAGGGUGAGAAUCCCGUAUUUGACCAUUAUUUCCAGCUUUGUGAUACACUUUCAAAGAGUCGGAUUGUUUGGGAAUGCAGUCCAAAAUGGGUGGUAAAUUUCAUCUAAAGCUAAAUAUUGGCGAGAGACCGAUAGCGAACAAGUACCGUGAGGGAAAGAUGAAAAGAACUUUGAAAAGAGAGUUAAACAGUACGUGAAAUUGUCAAAAGGGAAGCGUUUGACACCAGUGUUGUUUCUACGAAAAUCAAUUUAUGAUGGCUUGAUGCUAAGCUUUAAGACUUUAUCCGCUUGUUGUUUAGUUUUCUUGUCUUUGUGAAUGCACUUUUCGUGAACAAGUCAACAUCAAUUUCUUUUGCUGUAAAAGGGUAAGAGGAAGGUGGCUUCGGCUUCGGUUGAAGUGUUUAUAGCCUUUUAUCUCUGCAGUCGGAGAGAUUGAGGUCUGCAGCGUAGACUCUUCGGGGUUAGAUACGUCGGUGCUAAGCUAUAGCUUUUCAUAGACAACUUGUUGACUAUGUUUAGUCAUGUGGCUUACCCGCUGGCGCUAUUUUACCUACGCUUAGGAUGUUGACACACGCGCGUGCUCG